Molecule: ribosomal RNA, 1569 nt
Filed under: Triticum aestivum (bread wheat)
Lineage: Eukaryota; Viridiplantae; Streptophyta; Magnoliopsida; Poales; Poaceae
Description: partial small subunit ribosomal RNA
Source: RNAcentral
AUGGCGCGCUGCGUGCGGGGCUGCUGCUGCGUCCUGGUGCUGCUGCUCGUCGCGCUCGGCAUCACGGCCGCCGUCGUGUUCCUCCGCAACAGGAACGGCGGCGGCGGCGGCGGCGACCGCCCCGUCCCCGGCUCCGUCGACCACAAGUACGCCGAGGCGCUCGCCGUGGCCCUCCAGUUCUUCCAGGUCCAGAAAUCCGGGAAGCUGGUGAAGAACCAGAUCCCGUGGAGGGGUGACUCGGCGGUGGACGACGGGCAGGAGGCCGGGCUGGACCUCUCCCGGGGGAUGUACGACGCCGGCGAUCACAUCAAGUUUGGCUUCCCGCUGGCGUUCACGGCCACCAUGCUGUCGUGGUCCGUCCUCGAGUACGGCGGCGCCAUGGAGGCCGCCAAGCAGCGGGACUCCGCCCUCGACGCGCUGCGCUGGAUCAUGGACUACCUCGUCAAUGCGCACCCCGCCGACGACGUCCUGUACAUCCAGGUAGGCGACCCUGAAGCCGACCACAAGUGCUGGGAGAGGCCGGAGACCAUGUCGGAGAAGCGGCCGCUGACCAAGAUCACCGCCAACUCCCCCGGCAGCGACGUGGCGGCCGAGACGGCGGCGGCGAUGGCCGCGGCGUCGCUGGUCUACAAGCCCAUCGACGCUCCCUACUCGUCGUCCCUCCUGGGCCACGCGCAGCAGCUCUUCGCGUUCGCGGACCGGCACAGGGCCGCCUACACGCGCACCUUCCCGGAGCUCGCCAAGUACUACAACUCCACCACGUACCAGGACGAGCUGCUGUGGGCGAGCGGCUGGCUCUUCCACGCCACCGGCAACGGCAGCUACCUCGCCUACGCCACCGGCAAGAACGGCGAGGACUUCGCCGACCUCGGCAACCCCCGCUACUUCAGCUGGGACGACAAGCGCCCGGGCACCCAGGUCCUCCUGUCGAGGGUGAGCUUCUUCGCGUCGCAGGGGGCCGGCGUCGCCGACGACAACGAAGGUGGCCUGGAGUCGUACAAGCAGACCGCCGACGCCGUCAUGUGCAUCCUUCUGCCGGACUCUGAAACCGCCGCGUUCAGAACGGAAGGUGGGUUGCUGUACGUGGCCGAGUGGAACUCGCUCCAGCACCCCGUCGCCUCGGCCUUCCUCGCCGCCGUUUACGGCGACUACAUGCUCACCUCGGGGAAGACGGAGCUCACCUGCGGCGGGCAGAGCUUCUCGCCGGACGACCUGCGCAAGUUCGCCCAGUCUCAGGCGGACUACGUGCUGGGGGACAACCCGAUGAAGCUGAGCUACCUGGUCGGGUACGGCGACAGCUACCCGCAGCGGGUGCACCACCGGGGCGCGUCCAUCCCGGCGGACGUCAACACGGGCUGCGGCGGCCAGCAGUGGCUCGAGUCGCCUGACACCAACCCGAACGUGGCCACGGGGGCGCUCGUCGGGGGCCCCUUCAAGAACGACUCGUUCGUGGACGAGCGGCAGAACGUGAUGCAGAACGAGGCCACCACGUACAACAGCGCGCUCAUCGUCGGCCUCCUCUCCGGCCUCCUCACCACUUCCUCCGUCGCGCAGUCCUUGUCGUCCUGA